This is a long non-coding RNA of Corvus moneduloides (New Caledonian crow), 2875 nucleotides long. Lineage: Eukaryota; Metazoa; Chordata; Aves; Passeriformes; Corvidae. The record is from Ensembl.
AUGAAAAUCUUCAUCAUUCCAAGCCAAAAAUAUUUCAGACCAAACUUUGUGAUUUAUGUAGAUGAGCAAACCCCACCCAGCACCUCGUUCGUUCUAAUCCAGCUCUGCUGUUUUCCCAGGAUAUCUAAAUGCAAACCCUCUGGAAUCCUAGCAAGGGAAAGGAGGAUCCCAGCUAUUUCAAUCCCCACAAAUAAUUUUAAAUUGCUGUGUAAAGUUGGUCAUUUUUCUUCCCCAGGAAGAAGCCUCUCUCCAAAGACGUUGUUCUGCAGCACGUCAGGCUCUUUUCCACAGGGAUUUGGAUGCUGAAUCCAAGAGUUCCCAUCAGCAGCUCCUGAAACCAAGGCCACCUCUGUCCUCAGAUGCCAGGAACCAGAACUUUCACCUGACUAUGCCAGAGACCAGGUGAGCUCAGUUCAGGGUGGGAUGAAGGUUAAUCCUAAACCAUCAGCAGCCUGAUGAAACACGUGGUGCUGCAGCAUAAAACUAAAGUUAUGGAUAGGAAUGGUUUCUUUUUGCCAUAAUUCACACCCACAGGAAGGGAUUUUCAAGAGCUUUCUUUCCAGGGGAUAUUUGAAGGGAAAAAGAUGCUGAAAGAAACUUGGUCCAGGCAUAGAAAACCAGAAUUUGAGUGAUAAAAUUGGUUUUGAGUGAUUGAGUGAUAAAUUAGUUUUAAAAUGAAUUUACCACAGUUCCUGCUGAGUGGCAUUUGGGUGUUAUCAUGAUCUGGAAAUCCCUGUCUUUAAAUUCCACCAGGUGCUGAGCUCUGUGUUGCCUUUACCUUCCUCACCCCCUCAGCCUCGUGUCUCGUGCAGCCUCUCUGCCCCUGGGUGACGACCACCCUCAGUUAUUUACUCCACAGCCAAACAGGGGACACCUCCUGUGUCAUUUCAACAUUUGAAGAUGUUUCCUCCUCAAAUCCUCUCUCCUUGUAGAGAGGAGAAGAUCUGAAGAGAGAUCUUCGCUGGUUUUAGGCCUUCAGCUCCCAAGUGAGUCUGUGGCUCUGUCAUCGCCCCUCACAAGAAGUCCAUGGCUUCCUCUGCUGCUCCUGUUCCAGGAGGAGAUCUGAGCUCUGGCUGUGACCAGGGACACUUUGGCCUUUUUUCCUGGAUAAUCCCAUUUUCCCCCCUCUCUUGGCCAUCUGCUGUCACCUCAUGCUCUGAUGGCACGGCCUAGGGAAGCAGAGCAGGCCAGAUCCCACUCCCACAGCAGGAAUUAGGGCUGUGUCUUCAGCCAGGCUCUUUGGAAUGACCACAAAGCUCAUCUGAAAGCUUCAUCUCAGAAUCAGCCACACUCUGUGCCCUGUGGCUGUUGGUAAAGUGGAAUUCCAUGGAAUUCUAGAACGGUUUGGGUUGGAAAGGCCUUAAAGCCCAUCCAGUUCCAUGGGCAUGGACACUUCCACUGUCCCAGGUUGCUCCCAGCCCCAAUGUCCAGCCUGGCCUUGGACACUUCCAGGGAUCCAGGGACAGCCACAGCUGCUCUGGGAAUUCCAGCCCCGCCCCUCCUCACCCUCACAGGGAAGAAUUGGAUUAGGGGCUCAAUCCCAGGCCUGAUUCCUUGUUCUCAUUCCAUCCAAACCAAGGCACCAUUCCUGCUCUAUCUAAACACACCAUCCCAUGGAUUUUCAGCGACAUAUUCUCACAUCCUUUAAAAACCACCAUGGAAUAAUAAUCCCAUGAAAUAAUGAGGUGCUUUCCACAUUAAGCCACAUGAGAGAGGCUCAACAUCUUUAUAAGAUCUCAAUUCAUUCCCUUCAUCUCGAAGCAGAACUCUUUAGCUCACCUUGCUGAGAAAACCCCUCAGAAUUCCCUUUAAAUCCCAGCCACUUCCCUGGAUGGGAUGUACAACCUGCCACUGUAAUUCCAAGUGCUUAAUUAACACCCUGGAAAAAGGCUGGAGCUGGAGGCCUCUGCAGAUCCAUUUAUCCCGAGAAUUUGUGCUGAGGGGGGAGCAGAGGCAGCUCCUGAGUGGAACUGGGUGUGGAAUGAGCUGCUGAGGGAUUCUGCAUCAUCUGCCCUCAGCGAGAGGCAGGACCUGGAAGUGUGAAGUUGGGAAGGUCUCCCCCGUGGCAGAUGGGAUGAAAUCUGGAUUUCCGCCGCAGCACAUUUGGGUGUUGUGACUCGAGCAGUGUUUGCAUUUAGCACCCUUAAUAACAGAGAGGAGAAACAACCGUGAGGGGAGAAAGAAAAGCAAACUGCUCAUCUGAGUCAUUUCCUGGGCCUUGCAGCAAAUUCAUAAAGGAAAUACGGAAAAUUCAGGGAAAAAAUUGGAUUAAAGGUGUGAUUGAUGGAAAUGCUCUUGUAGAGAAGCAGCUGAAAUGUUGGGGAGAAAAAUCCCCCAUUUCUGAAAUAUUCUGGUCCAGCCUGUAAGGAUUUUUAAAAAAAAUAUUGAAGUGGUUUAAUCUUUUCUUCUUCUUUCUCUCCAAUUUUAUGCUUCCAACACUUGGGAUGGAAGAAAGAGUAAAUUUAAAAAAGCCGUCAAGCCGAACAUGUUGAGCUCCAGGUAUAUCCAAUGAAGGAAAUGACAUUUUCCAACAUCAGGGAUUAAUCCAACCAUAAAAUCAUUAAGGCUGGAAAACACCUCCAAGAUUACCAAAUCCAACCCCAAAUUUUUUGCAUUGCUUGUCCAAUCUGGCAAUUUUUAUGUAAAAAAAUAGACACCUUCAGCUGUGUGGGAACAGCAUCACCAUUGCUCAGGUCAUUCCCACUUCUUGGAAUCGGGUCCUGCCGUUGUUCUGUUGCUUCUGCUCUGCAAUUAAAAGAAACCUAAUUAAAUUUAAUCAAGUGAAAAUUCAAGGUUUUGGUUGGACAUCUCCCCUCUGACCUGCAGCUUUCAGCAGGACAGUUUCUAAUUUCACUGCUAAGACCACAGCUCUGGU